Molecule: ribosomal RNA, 465 nt
Filed under: Vreelandella stevensii
Lineage: Bacteria; Pseudomonadati; Pseudomonadota; Gammaproteobacteria; Oceanospirillales; Halomonadaceae
Description: partial 16S ribosomal RNA
Rfam family: Bacterial small subunit ribosomal RNA
Source: RNAcentral
CCUACGGGAGGCUGCAGUGGGGAAUAUUGGACAAUGGGGGCAACCCUGAUCCAGCCAUGCCGCGUGUGUGAAGAAGGCCCUCGGGUUGUAAAGCACUUUCAGUGAGGAAGAACGCCUGGUGGUUAAUACCCAUCAGGAAAGACAUCACUCACAGAAGAAGCACCGGCUAACUCCGUGCCAGCAGCCGCGGUAAUACGGAGGGUGCGAGCGUUAAUCGGAAUUACUGGGCGUAAAGCGCGCGUAGGUGGCUUGAUAAGCCGGUUGUGAAAGCCCCGGGCUCAACCUGGGAACGGCAUCCGGAACUGUCAAGCUAGAGUUCAGGAGAGGAAGGUAGAAUUCCCGGUGUAGCGGUGAAAUGCGUAGAGAUCGGGAGGAAUACCAGUGGCGAAGGCGGCCUUCUGGACUGACACUGACACUGAGGUGCGAAAGCGUGGGUAGCAAACAGGAUUAGAUACCCUAGUAGUC